This 782-nucleotide ribosomal RNA is filed under the name Dietzia sp. RNAcentral's name for it is "bacterial SSU rRNA". It matches the Rfam family "Bacterial small subunit ribosomal RNA", at positions 61 to 859 of the family's 1533-position model. Lineage: Bacteria; Bacillati; Actinomycetota; Actinomycetes; Mycobacteriales; Dietziaceae. The record is from RNAcentral.
CUCGAACGGUAAGGCCCCUUCGGGGGUACACGAGUGGCGAACGGGUGAGUAACACGUGGGUAAUCUGCCCUGCACUUCGGGAUAAGCCUGGGAAACCGGGUCUAAUACCGGAUAUGAACUCCUGCCGCAUGGUGGGGGUUGGAAAGUUUUUCGGUGCAGGAUGAGCCCGCGGCCUAUCAGCUUGUUGGUGGGGUAAUGGCCUACCAAGGCGACGACGGGUAGCCGGCCUGAGAGGGUGAUCGGCCACACUGGGAUGAGACACGGCCCAGACUCCUACGGGAGGCAGCAGUGGGGAAUAUUGCACAAUGGGCGAAAGCCUGAUGCAGCGACGCCGCGUGGGGGAUGACGGUCUUCGGAUUGUAAACCCCUUUCAGUAGGGACGAAGCGCAAGUGACGGUACCUGCAGAAGAAGCACCGGCUAACUACGUGCCAGCAGCCGCGGUAAUACGUAGGGUGCGAGCGUUGUCCGGAAUUACUGGGCGUAAAGAGCUCGUAGGCGGUUUGUCACGUCGUCUGUGAAAUCCCUCGGCUUAACCGGGGGCGUGCAGGCGAUACGGGCAGACUUGAGUACUACAGGGGAGACUGGAAUUCCUGGUGUAGCGGUGAAAUGCGCAGAUAUCAGGAGGAACACCGGUGGCGAAGGCGGGUCUCUGGGUAGUAACUGACGCUGAGGAGCGAAAGCAUGGGUAGCGAACAGGAUUAGAUACCCUGGUAGUCCAUGCCGUAAACGGUGGGCGCUAGGUGUGGGGUCCUUCCACGGACUCCGUGCCGUAGCUAACGCA